This is a long non-coding RNA of Labrus mixtus (cuckoo wrasse), 1507 nucleotides long. RefSeq lists it as uncharacterized. The record is from RefSeq and is a predicted model, not a curated record. The transcript has 2 exons. Lineage: Eukaryota; Metazoa; Chordata; Actinopteri; Labriformes; Labridae.
UAAAGUUCUGUCUGUCAGCGUUCUAACUCCAUAUUCUUGGUUUUUUUUUAGAUUUUCUUACAUUUGGCUUCACAGCGCUGGAGGGAGAAGAGGUGCACCCACGGGAUGCUCGGUCACAUCCUGCUCGUUGGCCUUGCUGAUCAGGUGUAGACCCCCCAGAGACAAACUCUGCGCACUGAUACCACCUCGUAGAACCAGACAGGAUGCGAUCCAGUUUGCAUCCGGGCGAGGAUAAACAGCCCGUCAUUCAUCCUUCAUACGUCUCCAGCGUCGCUGGGAUCGGAUAUGUUGGACACGCUCCGGGCUCUGAACCCUGCUCAUGUCUGGUGCUUGAAAAACCUUGGAUCAGACAAAUCAGAGUGAACACAGUUUUGGAAAAUCUCUAUUUGUUUUUCUGAAGGAAGCAUCCGGAUGAUCUGACGAGGCUUUAAAGGGUGUCGAAUGGAUUACGUCUCUGCGUUUUGACAGUUUGAAUCCACGCGGAUGCUAAAAUGUGGCUCGGGGAAUACAUUGAAUGGAUUACUUUGGAUUUUUGGCAAACCAAUUUUGUGACAUCUUUUUCAGGAUGUUAUGGUUUGUCUAUGAUCAGUGGCACCGCUCCUCUCUUUCCCCAUCAUACAGUCACAUGCCAAAGGAUUACUGCAGUAUUAUGACAGCAUUAUUUCAAUAACGGGGGGAGGAAUAUACCGACUUUUAAAAAAAAAAAGCACACCUCUCUUAUGUCUCUCUCAUGUUGGGCCUUGGAGUGAAAACACGAGCACAUUGUCAACCUUUUGUCUCAAAGCAUCAAUAUUAACAAACGAACAAACUUUUCUGGCACUUUGUUUUCAUCUCUUCCCCUCCUCGCUCUCUCUCUCUCUCUUUCUCUCUUUCUCUCGCUCUCAUUUUCAUGAACAACUGAAUCGUAUACUCUCAAGUAUAACCAGACUUCUGGCUCCGAAUGACUUAGAAAAUGUUGAAAUAAUCAGUGUGUUUGCGUCCAUGGUGGAUUGGUUCUCUGUGUGUCGGAGUAUUGAAAAAAAACAACCUUGAGUGUCCCGAGAACAGAGCCUUGAGGAACACCAUCGAGGCUAAACUAAAGCACAGACGCCUGCCCGACUGUACAUUCGAUGGUGGUUUUUUGGAAACACCCAUAUGAAACAAUGGUGAACUUUACCAUAAGUGUUCCUAUUACUACAAGCUGGCAUUCGAGAACGUUAAGUGUUUAUCGCGAUAUUAAAAAGAUGGCCAGCAGAACUUGCGCUGUCCCUCCCCCGUUCCUUCCCUCCCUCCCUCCCUCCCUCCCUUCCUCCCUUCUCCCUUUGCCGUUUGACAGUGUCUGUGUUUGUAUGUGACAUACACCUUACAGUCUUCGAUGGUUUGAUACCCAUGAUUUACUUUGAGUAUAACGGAACAAGUGACCACAAUAAGGAGAAAACACGACAACAUGCGAAACGGGGAUUUUAUGCUUUCAUAGAUACAAUUAUGUGGAUUUAUAAUGAAAUAAAAAGGUAUUUUUCUUGGAGAA